RNAcentral lists this ribosomal RNA (393 nucleotides) under Haemodracon trachyrhinus. Its description in RNAcentral is "partial 12S ribosomal RNA". It matches the Rfam family "Bacterial small subunit ribosomal RNA", at positions 796 to 1382 of the family's 1533-position model. The record is from RNAcentral. Lineage: Eukaryota; Metazoa; Chordata; Lepidosauria; Squamata; Phyllodactylidae.
UUAGCAGUUAACAUAGAUAGACCAAACAAACCCCUUCCUAUCCGCCAGAGUACUACAAGUGAAAAACUUCAAACUCUAAGGACUUGACGGUGUCCCAUACCUACCUAGAGGAGCCUGUCCUAUAAUCGAUACCCCACGAUCAACCUCACCCCCCCUAGCCUCUCAGCCUAUAUACCGCCGUCGUCAGCCUACCUUGUGAAAGCUAAAAAGUUAGCACAACAGUCACCCACUAAUACGUCAGGUCAAGGUGUAGCCAAUGGGGAGGAUACGAGAUGGGCUACAUUUUCUGCCCGACAGAAAACAUUGCCUAAGGCCUAAUGAAAAUCAAGCCGACAGAUGGAUUUAGCAGUAAAUACGACAAGAGAUGUCUAAUUGAAACUAGCCCUGGGACGU